AACCAGAAAGUUGGCCUUGGUGCUUGGGAUGAAGAGUCCCAGAUUCCUCAAUUCCCUCAAAGCUCUAGGGGCAGUUUUUGUCUGGGCAUGCAAAAGAAUCAGUUACACUUCUAUUACCCAAAAUUAAUUCUCAUUCCCAUUUGAUCCCACAUGGAGGACCACUUGUCCAGGGUAGGGAAGUUUCAAAACUCCACUGAGAUGAAACAAUAGCACCUCUCCAGCUGCUAUUGUUCAGGAAACCUGGCUGCAGGCUCAAGGAGAAAACCUUGAAUCAAUUUGUCUCAUGGAGGCCCAUUGGGUUGGCGACUUGCCCUUCACAACUCGUUAAAAUGAACACUUAGACUCUGGGGGAUGGAGCUGAACCUGUGGGGUGAUCCUCACCCCAUGAUCCUCCUGGCUGAUUUUUUUUACGGAGUUGGGAGGUCUCCCCUCUCUCUAUGGCUCAGGUUCCAUCCCACUGAAUAUGGGUCUGGCCUAUGAAAUACAACAUCUGGGAUCUGCUCAGCCUAUCCACCUGCAUAUAAGUGAGCAGCUGGAUGCUCUACCAGGCUGUACUCGAUGAUCUAACAACACUGGACUUCUUUCUUCACACACAACUGGACAUGGACACACACCCCCUUCUGCUUCCAGACUUUUGUUUUGAUUGUCUCUCAUGCCUGGGACAUUCUCCUUCCUUAUUUAUGUCUCCUCCCCACAAUUUCUUCAAGAUCCAGUUCAAAUGAACACAUCCUCAUGAAGGCAAGUAUCAAUUUAUCUCUGCCCUUUACUCCUUAUCUCUAAACUCAUUCCUAU
This 792-nucleotide long non-coding RNA is filed under the name Monodelphis domestica (gray short-tailed opossum). RNAcentral's name for it is "lncRNA (ENSMODG00000051083.1)". The record is from RNAcentral. Lineage: Eukaryota; Metazoa; Chordata; Mammalia; Didelphimorphia; Didelphidae.